GAUCCUGGCUUAGAGCGAACGCUGGCGGCAGGCUUAACACAUGCAAGUCGAGCGGGCGUAGCAAUACGUCAGCGGCAGACGGGUGAGUAACGCGUGGGAACGUACCUUUUGGUUCGGAACAACACAGGGAAACUUGUGCUAAUACCGGAUAAGCCCUUACGGGGAAAGAUUUAUCGCCGAAAGAUCGGCCCGCGUCUGAUUAGCUAGUUGGUGAGGUAAUGGCUCACCGAGGCGACGAUCAGUAGCUGGUCUGAGAGGAUGAUCAGCCACAUUGGGACUGAGACACGGCCCAAACUCCUACGGGAGGCAGCAGUGGGGAAUAUUGGACAAUGGGCGCAAGCCUGAUCCCAGCCAUGCCGCGUGAGUGAUGAAGGCCCUAGGGUUGUAAAGCUCUUUUGUGCGGGAAGAUAAUGACGGUACCGCAAGAAUAAGCCCCGGCUAACUUCGUGCCAGCCGCGGC
RNAcentral lists this ribosomal RNA (460 nucleotides) under uncultured bacterium. Its description in RNAcentral is "bacterial SSU rRNA". It matches the Rfam family "Bacterial small subunit ribosomal RNA", at positions 15 to 518 of the family's 1533-position model. The record is from RNAcentral.